RNAcentral lists this ribosomal RNA (391 nucleotides) under uncultured bacterium. RNAcentral describes it as "bacterial SSU rRNA". It matches the Rfam family "Bacterial small subunit ribosomal RNA", at positions 28 to 418 of the family's 1533-position model. The record is from RNAcentral.
GACGAACGCUGGCGGCGUGCUUAACACAUGCAAGUCGAGCGGUAAGGCCCUUUCGGGGUACGACGAGCGGCGAACGGGUGAGUAACACGUGGGUGACCUGCCCUCAGCUCUGGGAUAAGCCUGGGAAACCGGGUCUAAUACUGGAUAUGACUCCAUGACGCAUGUUGUGGGGUGGAAAGCCUUGUGCGGCUGAGGAUGGGCCCGCGGCCUAUCAGCUUGUUGGUGGGGUGANGGCCUACCAAGGCGACGACGGGUAGCCGGCCUGAGAGGGCGACCGGCCACACUGGGACUGAGACACGGCCCAGACUCCUACGGGAGGCAGCAGUGGGGGAAUCUUGCGCAAAUGGGCGAAAGCCUGACGCAGCGACGCCGCGUGAGGGAUGACGGCCUU